RNAcentral lists this non-coding RNA (40 nucleotides) under Trypanosoma brucei brucei. Lineage: Eukaryota; Euglenozoa; Kinetoplastea; Trypanosomatida; Trypanosomatidae. The record is from RNAcentral.
AAACAAUACUCACAUUUGCGGUGUUUGAUAUGAGUGAAUA